This 73-nucleotide transfer RNA is filed under the name Stegodyphus mimosarum. It matches the Rfam family "tRNA". Rfam says of the family: Transfer RNA (tRNA) molecules are approximately 80 nucleotides in length. Their secondary structure includes four short double-helical elements and three loops (D, anti-codon, and T loops). Lineage: Eukaryota; Metazoa; Arthropoda; Arachnida; Araneae; Eresidae. The record is from Rfam by way of RNAcentral.
GCCUUCAUGGUGUAGUGGUCAGCACACUCGACGCGUAACCGAGAGGUCCAUGGUUCAAUUCCCGGGGAGGGUA